CUGCGAGUGACCGGGAAAAGCUCAAAUUUUGAAUCUGGCAGUCCUUGAGGCUGUCCGAGUUGUAAUCUAGAGAAGCGUUUUCCGCGCUGGACCGUGUAUAAGUUUCCUGGAAAGGAACGUCAUAGAGGGUGAAAAUCCCGUCUUUGACACGGACUCCCAGGGCUAUGUGAUGCGCUCUCGACGAGUCGAGUUGUUUGGGAAUGCAGCUCAAAUAGGGUGGUAAAUUCCAUCUAAAGCUAAAUACAGGCGAGAGACCGAUAGCGAACAAGUACCGUGAGGGAAAGAUGAAAAGAACUUUGGAAAGAGAGUUAAACAGUACGUGAAAUUGCUGAAAGGGAAACGUUUGAUGUCAGUCGCGUCGGCCGGGGAUCAGUCUGGCUUUAACUAGCUAGGCGUACUUCCUGGUCGACGGGUCAGCAUCAGUUUUGACCGUCGGAAAAGGGCUUGAGGAAUGUGGCACUCUCUUUACCGGGGGUGUGUUAUAGACUCUUGUCUUGAAUACGAUGGUCGGGACUGAGGAACCGCAGCACGGCCUUUAUGGUUUUCGGGGCUUAGGCUCACGUUUAGCGUGCUUAGGAUGCUGGCAUAAUGGCCUUAAGCGACCCGUCUUGAAACACGGACCAAGGAGUCUAACAUACAUGCGAGUG
This 647-nucleotide ribosomal RNA is filed under the name Rhizopogon sp. RNAcentral describes it as "LSU rRNA". It matches the Rfam family "Eukaryotic large subunit ribosomal RNA", at positions 87 to 692 of the family's 3401-position model. The record is from RNAcentral. Lineage: Eukaryota; Fungi; Basidiomycota; Agaricomycetes; Boletales; Rhizopogonaceae.